RNAcentral lists this transfer RNA (72 nucleotides) under Bos taurus (domestic cattle). It matches the Rfam family "tRNA". From Rfam's summary of the family: Transfer RNA (tRNA) molecules are approximately 80 nucleotides in length. The record is from Rfam by way of RNAcentral. RNAcentral also lists the same sequence under 3 other names. Lineage: Eukaryota; Metazoa; Chordata; Mammalia; Artiodactyla; Bovidae.
UCCCUGAUGGCUCAGAUGGUAAAGAGUCUGCCUGCAAUGCAGAAGACCCAGGUUCGAUCCCUGGAUUGGGAA